CGGGGUGAGUAAUGUCUGGGAAACUGCCUGAUGGAGGGGGAUAACUACUGGAAACGGUAGCUAAUACCGCAUAACGUCGCAAGACCACAGAGGGGGACCUUCGGGCCUCUUGCCAUCGGAUGUGCCCAGAUGGGAUUAGCUAGUAGGUGGGGUAACGGCUCACCUAGGCGACGAUCCCUAGCUGGUCUGAGAGGAUGACCAGCCACACUGGAACUGAGACACGGUCCAG
This 229-nucleotide ribosomal RNA is filed under the name uncultured bacterium. Its description in RNAcentral is "partial 16S ribosomal RNA". It matches the Rfam family "Bacterial small subunit ribosomal RNA", at positions 104 to 334 of the family's 1533-position model. The record is from RNAcentral.